UCCAGAGAUGGAUUGGUGCCUUCGGGAACUGUGAGACAGGUGCUGCAUGGCUGUCGUCAGCUCGUGUUGUGAAAUGUUGGGUUAAGUCCCGCAACGAGCGCAACCCUUAUCCUUUGUUGCCAGCGGUUCGGCCGGGAACUCAAAGGAGACUGCCAGUGAUAAACUGGAGGAAGGUGGGGAUGACGUCAAGUCAUCAUGGCCCUUACGACCAGGGCUACACACGUGCUACAAUGGCAUAUACAAAGAGAAGCGACCU
RNAcentral lists this ribosomal RNA (256 nucleotides) under Klebsiella pneumoniae. RNAcentral's name for it is "partial 16S ribosomal RNA". It matches the Rfam family "Bacterial small subunit ribosomal RNA", at positions 999 to 1255 of the family's 1533-position model. The record is from RNAcentral. RNAcentral also lists the same sequence under 2 other names. Lineage: Bacteria; Pseudomonadati; Pseudomonadota; Gammaproteobacteria; Enterobacterales; Enterobacteriaceae.